CCCUUAGAGUUUGAUCCUGGCUCAGGAUGAACGCUGGCGGCGUGCCUAACACAUGCAAGUCGAACGGUCGCAAGACAGUGGCGGACGGGUGAGUAACACGUAGCUAACCUGCCUCAAAGAGGGGGAUAACGGUUCGAAAGAGCCGCUAAUACCGCAUAAGCUCCCGCCUAAUAGAGGGGUGAGAGAAAAGUUCCGGCGCUUUGAGAGGGGGCUGCGGCCCAUCAGGUAGUUGGUGAGGUAAUGGCUCACCAAGCCGACGACGGGUAGGAGACCUGAGAGGGUGAUCCCCCACACUGGGACUGAGACACGGCCCAGACUCCUACGGGAGGCAGCAGUGAGGAAUAUUGGUCAAUGGGGGCAACCCUGAACCAGCAACGCCGCGUGGGUGACGAAGGUUUUCGGAUCGUAAAGCCCUUUUGCAGGUGACGAGGAAGGACGGUAGCCUGCGAAGAAGUGUCGGCUAACUACGUGCCAGCAGCCGCGGUAAAACGUGGGACACAAGCGUUAUCCGGAAUUACUGGGCGUAAAGCGCCCGCAGGCGGUUGAGUAAGUGAUUGUUGAAAGCGCCCGGCUAAACUGGGCGAGGAGCGGUCAGACUGCUGAACUAGAGGGUGAUAGAGGCGUGUGGAAUUCCGCGUGUAGUGGUGAAAUGCGUAGAGAUGCGGAGGAACACCAGAGGCGAAGGCGGCACGCUGGGUCACACCUGACGCUGAGGGGCGACAGCACGGGGAGCGAACGGGAUUAGAAACCCCGGUAGUCCGUGCCGUAAACGAUGUGCGCUAGAUGUGCGUGAAGGGAAACCUUUGUGUGUGUCGAAGCAAACGCGGUAAGCGCACCGCCUGGGGAGUACGGCCGCAAGGUUAAAACUCAAAGGAAUUGACGGGGGCCCGCACAAGCAGCGGAGCGUGUGGUUUAAUUCGAGGCUACGCGAAGAACCUUACCUGGGUUUGACAUAGCGAUGAACGACCGUGAAAGCGGGAGGGUCCUUCGGGAGAUCGUUACAGGUGCUGCAUGGCUGUCGUCAGCUCGUGUCGUGAGAUGUUCGGUUAAGUCCGAAAACGAGCGCAACCCUCGGCGUGUGUUACACGUGUCACACGCGACUGCCGUCGGUAAGGCGGAGGAAGGUGGGGAUGACGUCAAGUCAGCAUGGCCUUUAUAUCCAGGGCUACACACACGCUACAAUGGGCGGUACAGUGGGAAGCGAAAGAGCGAUCUGGAGCGGAUCCUCAAAGCCGUUCGUAGUUCGGAUUGUAGGCUGCAACUCGCCUGCAUGAAGUUGGAGUUGCUAGUAAACGCGCAUCAGCACGGCGCGUUGAAUACGUUCCCGGGCCUUGUACACACCGCCCGUCACGUCAUGGGAGCUGGUCAUGCCUGAAGUCGAGAAGGUAACCGCAAGGGGCCUAUUGCCGAAGGCAGGGCGGGUGACUGGGACAAAGUCGUAACAAGGUAACCAAGGGC
RNAcentral lists this ribosomal RNA (1458 nucleotides) under uncultured bacterium. RNAcentral's name for it is "bacterial SSU rRNA". It matches the Rfam family "Bacterial small subunit ribosomal RNA". The record is from RNAcentral.